UGAUCCCCCACAAUGGCACUGAGACACGGGCCAUACUCCUACGGGAGGCAGCAGUCAGGGAUAUUGCACAAUGGGCGAAAGCUUGAUGCAGCGACGCCGCGUGGGCGAUGAAGGCCUUCGGGUUGUAAAGCCCUUUUCUGGGGGAAGAGACAAGGACGGUACCCCAGGAAUAAGCGCCGGCUAACUACGUGCCAGCAGCCGCGGUAAAACGUAGGGCGCAAGCGUUAUCCGGAUUCACUGGGCGUAAAGUGCGUUGAGGCGGCUCCGUAAGUUGGACGUUAAAGCCCCCGGCCUAACUGGGGGAGGUCGUUCAAUACUGCGGAGCUUGAGGGCAGCAGAGGCAGGUGGAAUUCCCGGUGUAGUAGUGAAAUGCGUAGAUAUCGGGAGGAACACCCGUGGCGAAGGCGGCCUGCUGGGCUGCUCCUGACGCUGAAGGCGAAAGCUAGGGGAGCAAACGGGAUUAGAAACCCCGGUAGUCCUAGCUGUAAACGAUGGAUGCUGGACGUGGGGGGUAUAGACUCCCUCCGUGCCGAAGCUAACGCGUUAAGCAUCCCGCCUGGGGACUACGGCCGCAAGGCUAAAACUCAAACGAAUUGACGGGUCCCCGCACAAGCAGCGGAGCGUGUGGUUCAAUUCGAUCUUACACGAAGAACCUUACCUGGGUUUGACAUGUGGGUAGUAGUGAAGCGAAAGCGGAACGACCUUUCGGGGAGCCUACACAGGUGCUGCAUGGCUGUCGUCAGCUCGUGCCGUGAGGUGUCGGGUUAAGUCCCGUAACGAGCGCAACCCUCGCCCUUAGUUACAAGUGUCUAGGGGGACUGCCGGCGACAAGCCGGAGGAAGGUGAGGAUGACGUCAAGUCAGCAUGGCCUUUAUAUCCAGGGCUACACACACGCUACAAUGGCCGGUACAAUGGGUUGCCAAGCCGUGAGGCGGAGCCAAUCCCCCAAAGCCGGUCUCAGUUCGGAUUGCAGGCUGCAACUCGCCUGCAUGAAGCUGGAGUUGCUAGUAAUCGCGCGUCAGCAAUAGUGCGGUGAAUACGUUCCCGGGGAUUGUACACACCGCCCGUCACGUCAUGGGAGCUGGCAACACCUGAAGCCGGUGGGCCAACCCGCAAGGGAGGCAGCCGUCGAAGGUGGGGCUGGUGACUGGGACGAAGUCGUAACAAGGUAGCUGUAGCGGAAGCUGCGGCUG
RNAcentral lists this ribosomal RNA (1193 nucleotides) under metagenome. RNAcentral describes it as "bacterial SSU rRNA". It matches the Rfam family "Bacterial small subunit ribosomal RNA", at positions 301 to 1520 of the family's 1533-position model. The record is from RNAcentral.